UACGUAGGUGGCGAGCGUUGUCCGGAUUUACUGGGCGUAAAGAGCGCGCAGGCGGUCGUUCAAGUCGCGUGUGAAAGCCCCCGGCUCAACUGGGGAGGGUCACGCGAUACUGAUCGACUCGAAGGCAGGAGAGGGUAGUGGAAUUCCCGGUGUAGUGGUGAAAUGCGUAGAUAUCGGGAGGAACACCAGUGGCGAAGGCGACUACCUGGCCUGUUCUUGACGCUGAGGCGCGAAAGCUAGGGGAGCAGACGGG
RNAcentral lists this ribosomal RNA (253 nucleotides) under uncultured bacterium. Its description in RNAcentral is "partial 16S ribosomal RNA". It matches the Rfam family "Bacterial small subunit ribosomal RNA", at positions 524 to 776 of the family's 1533-position model. The record is from RNAcentral.